This 209-nucleotide ribosomal RNA is filed under the name uncultured bacterium. RNAcentral describes it as "partial 16S ribosomal RNA". It matches the Rfam family "Bacterial small subunit ribosomal RNA", at positions 1294 to 1500 of the family's 1533-position model. The record is from RNAcentral.
CGGAUUGUAGGCUGAAACUACGCCUACAUGAAGCUGGAGUUACUAGUAAUCGCAGAUCAGAAUGCUGCGGUGAAUGCGUUCCCGGGUCUUGUACACACCGCCCGUCACACCACGGAAGUUGGGGCGCCCGAAGCCACUUAGCUAACCCUUUUGGGAAGCGAGUGUCGAAGGUGAAAUCAAUAACUGGGGUGAAGUCGUAACAAGGUAAC